AGAGAGAAAGAGAGAGAGAGAGAGAGUGCACUCUGGCCUCAAGGGUAGCUGACCAGAGGCUGGGCACUCAGUGGAGCGAGCUGCUCCCGAACAGCCCAGCCCGGGGAGUGACCCAGGGAGGCAGGAAAUGAGUUUCCUUAGAGGAGGGGCUGUGGGGCGGCUACCAGCCAAAGGGAGAGAGGAAGUGCUGUUUAGAGUCUGGGCUUGGGACUGGGGGGCUGUCAGGGCCUGACAGAACUCCUUUACUCUCCUCCCCCUCUCCAAUCCCACCUCUCCUCUUCGGUUUUCUCUAGCUUCUAGUGACAGGACCAGCACAUCUGGCAGGAAACAUCUGGUUCUGUCAAUCAGCUCCCGAGAGGCGUCUGUCCCCAAAAAGGGAAAUCCCUGGGUGCCCCCACUUUCUGGCCAGUUGGACUUGUAUCACUACUGGAGAAUGAAGAGGCUGGAAUCCAUAUAAGCCCAAAGGCCUUUCUAGCAUCAAAUCUAUGAGCCCAGGACCUAGGCUAAUUCCUCCAUUUCAAGGAUCAGAUGGAGGGACCUGGCUAAGAAAGAGUCAGGAAACGAGCACCCGUUUUGAAGUCAGCGGACCUGGGGUUAAAUCCUGACUCUGAACUCAGUAGCUGCAUGAAAAUAACUCAGUUUCUCAAGUGGAUAAAAUGGGAAGCCAGACAUGGUGGGGGAGAACGACUUAGUAUUGGCCCAGGGCGCCACCCUGACCAACUCCAACAGAGAAGUGAAACUUCCCAUCACAGACAGCAGGCAAAGGGCUCAGGCUUCUGGGAGUGCGGGUCUGGCAGGAAACAACUCACUAAACGUGCAACCCUGAUUCCCAGAACAACGAUCUUCAUUUACCUGCCCGUGCACAAAAGCAGGUGGGGAGGAAGGGGCCCCGAGCUCAAACUGGCAUGUUAGUGACAUCACUGCUCUGGGCUUUGGGGUCCUCAUCUGCAAAAUGGGCGUGAUCAUAUUUGUACUACCUGCCUUGUAAGGCACUGGUGAGGAUAGAUGAACUCAUGGCUAUCAACCUGAGGGGUAAAGGGUUAGCUGCUCUUUCUAAAAUGUCAGAGCUGCAAGGGAUUUUAGGGACCCUCCAGCUCAACCUUCUCAUUGUACAGAAACUAAGGCCUAGAUAAGGGAUCAGAGGGGAACCUGCAUUCUCCUGAGUGAGUUCGGGAAUUCUUCAUGACUCCCCAUCUGUGCUCCCCAAAACUGAGAGGGAUCUCAGAGACUAUCUAGUCUAACCUGCUCAUAAAAUAGUAACUGGCAUGGGGCUUGUAAGGCUUUUAAGUGCCAAGCACUUCAUUUUCUCACCACCAUAUCUUGGAAGAUGGGGAAACCAAGGAUCAGAGUAGACCAGAGAGAUUAAAUGAUUUGUUGAAGUUAAUGGGUAGAGCCCAGGAUUUGGCCCUCAACCACCCAAUUCCAAAGGAGGCAGUGUGGUAUAAUGGGUAGCACUAGCUCAGGCACUUUAUAAGCCAUGUGAUUAUGUAUUACUUGCUCUCCCUUUUUCAUAGUUACAGUUUCAUCUGUAAAAUAAUAUGGUCACAAGAGUCUCAAUGCAAUUGUAAGCUUUUAAUGGUAUUAAAAAUUUUUGGAAUACCUUGUUCUGGGACCACCUACCUUGCAUUUAGUGAAGUUCUAAGCAUUAGCUUUAAGAGCCUAAAAUGGUAUUUGGAAUGCUGGGAUACCCUAUAUUAUGAGGAAAGCAUUUUGCAAACUUUUGAAAGCACCACAUCAAUGUGAAGUUAUCCGUAUUAGCCCUCAAGAUCACAUCUCCAGUCCAAAUAGGGCAGUAUCCUGGACUCCCUGGGUCUUGGAAUGCCCAAGUUUAUCAGAUAACCCAGGAUCUCUGAAAGAACACAUUAAUUAAGCUUCUCCGGGAGCAGACAGCUCUGUUUCCUCAGGAGAGCCCCAGAGGUUCCUCCACAGACUGGUCAGUGAAUCUGGCUCUUUCCGGCUUCCUUGCUGACCAGGAAUCUUGGGGGAGGAGGGAGAAGGAUCAAGGAGAGAACAUCCUCUCAGUCCACCCAGGGGGAGGGACUUCAAGAGUGACUGUCCCCUUGGCCGCUGGCCACCUCAGGAAUGUAGGCGCUGCCCCCAGGGACCACUGAGGCCAGCCUCCUGUCUCCAGUCUCGGCCUGGAGCCAGGAGCCAGGAAAGGUGUCUGAUCCCACCCCCCACUCUUGCCUGUGAAUGACCAAGGCAGGGCGGAGGGUGAGGCCCUCACCAUGACGUUCUAUUGUCCUUGUCCGAAGGGGUGCUCUGCUUCUGGUCCCUAGGCCCUUGGCCUCUUGCAGAGAUUCUGGCAUCCCUGGGGCCAUGCUCAGGACAGCUUCCACACGUCCCUCUUCCACUGGGUAACUUUUCACUGUAACUCCACACCUGUGACACCACACACCUCAGAGAGAGCCCCAAAUGCCCCCGAAUCCUUCACAGCUGGUUUUACCCCAAAUGCUCCCUUCUUAGGGCUCCUGCCACUAAUCCUCAGUGUGACCUUGGUUGGUUCUCUAGCUUGGUUUCCUUAUUCCUAAAAUAAAGAGGUCAGACAUAGGUAGCCUCUAAGAUGUAUUUUGGCUCUAUCACAUGGGUCCUUGUUCCCGGGAUAAACUUGGGUGAACUCCUAGAGGUGUAGGGAAAUUAAGCUCCAUCAUCUCCAUCGGCCCAUGAAGGGGCAAGUCAGGGCCUCUGUCUGGGGCCGGCGCCUUCAGCCUGGCUCUGCCGCCCCCUGCACCCUGUCGGACUAAACACCCCAGCACUGUUUGUGUUCCCUAUUGUCCUCCCGGGGCCUUAUCUGAUCUGGAGGGGCCAAGUCCUGGGGGGCAGGUCUAUCCUGGCUCCGGACUGGCCGCCCUUCACAGCCUCCUCCUCUGCUCAGAAGGAAGGGGCAGGGGUGCCAGGCAAGCAGCCCCUUGGGAGCAACCAGAGUCUGGAGUUAGGCACUGACAUGUCUGGGUCUUUCACCCUCCUGGGCUGGCCAUCUGGCCUCCUUUCUCAUUCUCUCUCUCAAACUGUACAGCACUACCCCCAACCAAGAUCCCUUUCCCCUCAGUCUUGGUGGUUCAAGAGUCAGGUAACAAGGGCUGCUGGGCUGUGUGAGGGGCACAUCUGAUAGAAAAUUGGAAUAAGACCCAGGUAUCUUGGUGCCUGGAAAAAGUUGUGGAGUGGAAAAGGCAUUGGACUGAGGAAUGGAGAAACCUAUCCAUUGUCACUGAUUCAUCGCAUGACUGAGCAAGUGCUUUCUCCUACCUAGACCUCAGUUUCCUUAUUUGUAAAAUGAGUGGGAUUAGACAAGGCCCUUCCAGCUGUAGCCUCCAGGGGAGUCCAAGCUCUCUAGCCUCCCCCCAUUAACAAAGGCAAAAUCCUUUUCUCCAGUAUUUCCCCCCCACCUUCCCUCUGGUUCUUUUUAACACCCCCAAUCCCCAUCAUGGAACAGCCAGUCUUUCCUGUUUACUCCUUGGCCUCUUGCUACAAGGGGAGGGGGGGGGGGAGAAGGGAGGCGACACAGACCCUUCACUGAUCCAGGCUUCCUUCCUCUUCUACUCCUGCUUCAUCUGGAAGACAAUCCCUUCCUCUGGGGCCUUUUACGCCCUGGGGUUGAGGCACACGUGCCAGUGUCGCCGGUCAAGGGGGUGAUGAGGGCACCCGGGGCCAGCAUCCACAUGUUGGACCAGUGUGGACCAAUCACAUUCCUUUUCUGAUGGAUUGUCCCCAGGGACAAUCCUCAAGACACUAAGCCAACUAAGCAAGCCCCUUGGUGACUUGGGAGGGAGCUGUUAAUAUGAAAGCUGCUAUAUGCUCUUGUGUUUGAACAGAAAGAACUUUGGGCUGGGAGUCUGGAAGUCUGAAUUCUAUUACUAACUCUGCCGCCAGUGCUGUGCGUGACCUUGAGCAAGUCUCCUCAGUUCCCUUUUCUACAAAACAGAGCGGGGGUAGACUAGAUAAUCUAAGAACUUGUCUAAUUUUAAAUCCUAAGGUCUUCUAGGGUAGAGGACUACAUCUUCCCCACAAAUAAAUUCAUCAGACAUUUAUUGAGCCAGGCCCUGUGCUUGGCUCUGGGUUUACAAGGAUGAGAAGACUGUGCUUGCCCUCGAGAGUUUACAAUCUAAUACAUAGGAUAUAACACAAAUGUAGGAUACAAGGUAGCUUGUGCUAAAGCAAAGAGAUUCAAGCACGGUAGUGUUCUUUGGGAUGAGGGGGAGAACAGGAUUCCUUUCUCAGGAGGAAAAUCAAGGUAGACUGCAUGGAAGAGGUAGCAUCUACUAUGGGGUCUUGAAAAAAACAGGGAAUACAUUUCAAUUAUAUGCAAGUAUUAAGAUAGAAGAUCUAGGAUCAACCAGUAAUACAGUAAGUUUAGAACAUAGUGUGUGUAAAAGGGAAUAUUGGGAAAUAAAGUGAGAAAGAGGAGUUGGAACCAGGCUGUGGAAGAAUCUUAAAUUUCAGGAGUGAAGAGUCUAUUUAGUUCUAUAGAUAACUAGGAAAAGAAACAAGAUUGCUCUUGCUGUCAGGGAGUUUACAAUCUAAUACAUAGGGCUUUGAUAGACACGAAAAUGCUAAGGAUACAAAACAGAGGGACAAAAAAUAGAUUCAAGAAUAAUAGUGUUCUACAAAAAGGGAGAAAUCACUUUCAGAGGAGAGGAAAAUCAAGAAAGGUUGCAUGGAGUAGGUGGCAUCUAAGAUGGGCUAAGAAUGUUUUUGAGCAGUGAUGACAUAUUAGACUUGUAAAAUUAGGAAGGAAAUAAGCAUGAAUUUUAAGUAACUACUGUGCUAAACACUAUUUUCUCAUUUGAUCCUUACCUUCAAUGCUGGGAGUUAAGUGUUAUGAUUUCCAUUUCAAGUAUCUGAAAGUCACAUUCAAGUCUUUUUGAUCUCAGCUCAAUGCUCUCAGCCACUGGGAAGUCACCUACCUGCCAUUAAGAAAUUUAAUUGAGCCACAAUAUGAAGGAUGGUUCAGAGAAGGGAAAAACAGGAGUUAGGAAGACAAUUAGGAGGCAAUAGUCGAUAAAGAUCUAAAUUAGUCUGAUGGCAGCAAGUACAAACACCACAGACAAGAUAUGAGAGCAGCUCUGCUCAUAGAACCAUAAUCAACAGAACCCAGAAAUCAACUGUCUCUGAGAUGGAGAGCAGCCAGUGAGGAAUCUGGCGUUUCCAGACUAAGUGACUGGGUUAUAGGAUCAUACAUUUAGAGUGAGGCCAUCUAACCCAGCCUCCUCCUUUGACAUAUGGAGAACUGAGAACAAGAGUCAAGUCAACAAGCAUUUAUUAAGCACAUGCUAUGCAAUCAGGCACUAUGGGCAGUUAGAGCUCUGGGCCUGGAGUCAUGAAGACCCGAGUUCCAAGUCAACCUUAGAUAUUUGCUAGCUGUGUGAUCUUGAGCAAGUCAUAACCUGGUUGCCUCAAUUUUCUCAACUGUAAAAUGGGGAUCAUAAUAUCAACUACCUCCUAAGGUUGGACUGAGGAUCAAAUGAGAUAAUUAUUACUCAGCACAAUAUCUUCCAUGUAGUAAUCACUAUAAACAUAUUUGUUAUUAUUGCUUAGAGUCGCACAAUUAAUAUAUAUGAGGUAAGAUUUGAAUCUAGAUUCCCCGCUUCAGAGUCCAGCAUUAUACUCUUUUAACAUGCUAUCUCUGGGGUGGUGAUAUAAUUGACAAAAAUAAGAAGUUGGAAGAGGAGAGAUGCAGAUUUUGGGGCAAUGAGAAUUAAUUUAAUUCAAGAUAUGUUGAGUUUGAGAUAAGUAGGGUGUUGUUCUUUGGAGAGUCAUCCAGUUGCUCUAUCUUAUCCCCAAAUAAGAAUAUAGAACCCAGAAUUUUAGUGAGGAUAAAGGCCUUCGAAAUCAUCAAGGUAAAGAUAUCUAGAAGUCUGCGAGAAAUGGGGCUCACUGAAGAACCUAAUCUAUGUUUAAAAGUACAUCUGGGAAGAGAUGAUAAUUAAAGCCAAAAGAGAAGAAAAAUAGAGAAUUUGGCUGAGGGAAGAAAGCUACACUUAAAUGUAAAUGGAGGAAGAGGCAAAAUAAAACAGUAACAACAAAACAAACAGCAAAGGAGAAACCAUCAAAAACCUUGUCUUCAAAUAUUGCAGAUGUCGAGGAGGAUGCACUUUGGAAAAAAAGGCCAUUGGACAGGGCCAUUGCUGAUGAAUACAGAAUAGCUCUCAAGAUUUAUAUGAACUAAUGCAAAGGGAAACAGGUAGAACUAGGAAAAUAAGGGGAACUACAAAAUGGCUACAAUGUAAACAGAGAGCUCAAAGGCAGCAAACAAUUGAAAAUGAAUGUAGCAAAGUUAUGAUCAAACUUGUUUCCAAAGAGGAGAUUUGAGGAAGCACCAAGGCUCCACCCUGUUUGAGGAGGUAGGAGCACAGCAUACAAUCAGACUUUUUUCAUUGUAUUAUUGGUAUUGCUUCUCCUCUCCCUCCCUACUCUUUAUUGCUCAGUUUCUCUCCUUCGCUCUCAUUAUAAGGGAUGGCUCUUGGAAGAGGAUGGGGAGAAUGGAGGGACAUAUAGGGAAAUAUAGAUAUAAAAUCAAAAGAUAUCAAUAAAACUGUGUUUAAAAAGAAAUCAUUGGAGAAAAUCACAAGAUUUAAAGCUGGGAGAAAUAAUUAAGUCCAGCUACAUGUUU
This is a long non-coding RNA of Antechinus flavipes (yellow-footed antechinus), 6610 nucleotides long. RefSeq lists it as uncharacterized. The record is from RefSeq and is a predicted model, not a curated record. The transcript has 2 exons. NCBI's taxonomy places the organism in Eukaryota, Metazoa, Chordata, Mammalia, Dasyuromorphia, Dasyuridae.